UCAGCGCCGGACGGGUGAGUAACACGUGGCCAACCUGCCUGUAAGACUGGGAUAACUCCGGGAAACCGGGGCUAAUACCGGAUAAUUCUUUCCCUCACAUGAGGGAAAGCUGAAAGAUGGUUUCGGCUAUCACUUACAGAUGGGCCCGCGGCGCAUUAGCUAGUUGGUGAGGUAACGGCUCACCAAGGCAACGAUGCGUAGCCGACCUGAGAGGGUGAUCGGCCACACUGGGACUGAGACACGGCCCAGACUCCUACGGGAGGCAGCAGUAGGGAAUCUUCCGCAAUGGACGAAAGUCUGACGGAGCAACGCCGCGUGAGUGAUGAAGGUUUUCGGAUCGUAAAACUCUGUUGUUAGGGAAGAACAAGUACCGGAGUAACUGCCGGUACCUUGACGGUACCUAACCAGAAAGCCACGGCUAACUACGUGCCAGCAGCCGCGGUAAUACGUAGGUGGCAAGCGUUGUCCGGAAUUAUUGGGCGUAAAGCGCGCGCAGGCGGUUCCUUAAGUCUGAUGUGAAAGCCCCCGGCUCAACCGGGGAGGGUCAUUGGAAACUGGGGAACUUGAGUGCAGAAGAGAAGAGUGGAUUCCACGUGUAGCGG
RNAcentral lists this ribosomal RNA (602 nucleotides) under Cytobacillus firmus. RNAcentral's name for it is "bacterial SSU rRNA". It matches the Rfam family "Bacterial small subunit ribosomal RNA", at positions 92 to 681 of the family's 1533-position model. The record is from RNAcentral. Lineage: Bacteria; Bacillati; Bacillota; Bacilli; Caryophanales; Bacillaceae.